RNAcentral lists this ribosomal RNA (501 nucleotides) under Triticum aestivum (bread wheat). Its description in RNAcentral is "partial small subunit ribosomal RNA". Lineage: Eukaryota; Viridiplantae; Streptophyta; Magnoliopsida; Poales; Poaceae. The record is from RNAcentral.
GCAUUUACAAGAGAGACGAGGCCUAAAUGGAGUGCUCCCAAGGCUGGCUGGGUUAAACUUAGUUCUGAUGGUUCUUAUGCAGAAGAUGGCUCAGCAGGCGCUGGCAUGGUGUUGAGAGAUGACAAGGGUGAGAUUAUUUUUUCCUCUUGUAGGCAACUUUUUUCAUGUCGAGAUGCUCUUGAAGCGGAAUUAUGUGCAUGCAUGGAAGGGUUGUCGUUUUCGAUCCAGAAAAGUGAGCUUCCUAUCGAGAUUGAGAUGGACUCUAUUGUUGCAGUUAAGUUGAUCCAGGCAAAGGAGGUGGAUAGAUCAGUUUAUUCAUCGCUCAUUAAGGAGAUUAGAUAUCUCAUGUCUAUUUGUGAUUCGUGUAUUACUCAUGUUAAUCGUAGCCAAAAUAAAGUUAGUGAUAGCAUAGCUAGAUUUGCUCGUUUAGAAGGCAGAACCAUGACUUGGAUCGGUUCGGGUCCUACGGCUGCUAUGGAGCUUGCUACGACUGAUUGUAUG